This 466-nucleotide ribosomal RNA is filed under the name uncultured bacterium. Its description in RNAcentral is "partial 16S ribosomal RNA". It matches the Rfam family "Bacterial small subunit ribosomal RNA", at positions 28 to 507 of the family's 1533-position model. The record is from RNAcentral.
GACGAACGCUGGCGGCGUGCUUAACACAUGCAAGUCGAACGGAAAGGCCCUGCUUGCCGGGUACUCGAGUGGCGAACGGGUGAGUAACACGUGGGUGAUCUGCCCUGCACUUCGGGAUAAGCCUGGGAAACUGGGUCUAAUACCGGAUAGGAGCCAUUUUUAGUGUGAUGGUUGGAAAGUUUUUUUCGGCGUAGGAUGAGCUCGCGGCCUAUCAGCUUGUUGGUGGGGUAAUGGCCUACCAAGGCGGCGACGGGUAGCCGGCCUGAGAGGGUGGACGGCCACAUUGGGACUGAGAUACGGCCCAGACUCCUACGGGAGGCAGCAGUGGGGAAUAUUGCACAAUGGGCGCAAGCCUGAUGCAGCGACGCCGCGUGGGGGAUGACGGCCUUCGGGUUGUAAACUCCUUUCGCUAGGGACGAAGCUUUUUGUGACGGUACCUAGAUAAGAAGCACCGGCUAACUACGUG